GGCUCGGUGGCGAACGGUCCGCGUCUGCAUUGAGUGGUUCUAUCCGGCAAUAUUCUACGGUCACGCAGAAGUUCCCUGUUCGACUCGGGGUCGAGCCA
Non-coding RNA from Mycena vulgaris, 98 nucleotides. Lineage: Eukaryota; Fungi; Basidiomycota; Agaricomycetes; Agaricales; Mycenaceae. The record is from the annotation of a GenBank genome assembly.